RNAcentral lists this transfer RNA (77 nucleotides) under Nocardia cyriacigeorgica. Its description in RNAcentral is "tRNA-Leu". It matches the Rfam family "tRNA". From Rfam's summary of the family: Transfer RNA (tRNA) molecules are approximately 80 nucleotides in length. Their secondary structure includes four short double-helical elements and three loops (D, anti-codon, and T loops). Further hydrogen bonds mediate the characteristic L-shaped molecular structure. tRNAs have two regions of fundamental functional importance: the anti-codon, which is responsible for specific mRNA codon recognition, and the 3' end, to which the tRNAs corresponding amino acid is attached (by aminoacyl-tRNA synthetases). tRNAs cope with the degeneracy of the genetic code in two manners: having more than one tRNA (with a specific anti-codon) for a particular amino acid; and 'wobble' base-pairing, i.e. permitting non-standard base-pairing at the 3rd anti-codon position. The record is from RNAcentral. Lineage: Bacteria; Bacillati; Actinomycetota; Actinomycetes; Mycobacteriales; Nocardiaceae.
UCCCUCGUAGCCCAAUUGGCAGAGGCGACGGUCUCAGACACCGGAGGUUGCGAGUUCGACUCUCGCCGAGGGAACCA